Molecule: ribosomal RNA, 274 nt
Filed under: uncultured bacterium
Lineage: Bacteria
Description: partial 16S ribosomal RNA
Rfam family: Archaeal small subunit ribosomal RNA
Source: RNAcentral
AAACCAGCACCUCAAGUGGUCAGGAUGAUUAUUGGGCCUAAAGCAUCCGUAGCCUGUUCUAUAAGUUUCCGGUUAAAUCCACUAGCUCAACUAGUGGGCUGCCGAAAAUACUGUAGAACUAGGGAGUGGGAGAGGUAGACGGUAUUCGGUAGGAAGGGGUAAAAUCCUUUGAUCUAUUGAGGACCACCUGUGGCGAAGGCGGUCUACCAGAACACGUUCGACGGUGAGGGAUGAAAGCUGGGGGAGCAAACCGGAUUAGAAACCCGAGUAGUCC